UGGCUCAGGACGAACGCUGGCGGCGUGCCUAAUACAUGCAAGUCGAACGCUUCUUUUUCCACCGGAGCUUGCUCCACCGGAAAAAGAGGAGUGGCGAACGGGUGAGUAACACGUGGGUAACCUGCCCAUCAGAAGGGGAUAACACUUGGAAACAGGUGCUAAUACCGUAUAACAAUCGAAACCGCAUGGUUUUGAUUUGAAAGGCGCUUUCGGGUGUCGCUGAUGGAUGGACCCGCGGUGCAUUAGCUAGUUGGUGAGGUAACGGCUCACCAAGGCGACGAUGCAUAGCCGACCUGAGAGGGUGAUCGGCCACAUUGGGACUGAGACACGGCCCAAACUCCUACGGGAGGCAGCAGUAGGGAAUCUUCGGCAAUGGACGAAAGUCUGACCGAGCAACGCCGCGUGAGUGAAGAAGGUUUUCGGAUCGUAAAACUCUGUUGUUAGAGAAGAACAAGGAUGAGAGUAACUGUUCAUCCCUUGACGGUAUCUAACCAGAAAGCCACGGCUAACUACGUGCCAGCAGCCGCGGUAAUACGUAGGUGGCAAGCGUUGUCCGGAUUUAUUGGGCGUAAAGCGAGCGCAGGCGGUUUCUUAAGUCUGAUGUGAAAGCCCCCGGCUCAACCGGGGAGGGUCAUUGGAAACUGGGAGACUUGAGUGCAGAAGAGGAGAGUGGAAUUCCAUGUGUAGCGGUGAAAUGCGUAGAUAUAUGGAGGAACACCAGUGGCGAAGGCGGCUCUCCUGGUCUGUAACUGACGCUGAGGCUCGAAAGCGUGGGGAGCAAACAGGAUUAGAUACCCUGGUAGUCCACGCCGUAAACGAUGAGUGCUAAGUGUUGGAGGGUUUCCGCCCUUCAGUGCUGCAGCUAACGCAUUAAGCACUCCGCCUGGGGAGUACGACCGCAAGGUUGAAACUCAAAGGAAUUGACGGGGGCCCGCACAAGCGGUGGAGCAUGUGGUUUAAUUCGAAGCAACGCGAAGAACCUUACCAGGUCUUGACAUCCUUUGACCACUCUAGAGAUAGAGCUUCCCCUUCGGGGGCAAAGUGACAGGUGGUGCAUGGUUGUCGUCAGCUCGUGUCGUGAGAUGUUGGGUUAAGUCCCGCAACGAGCGCAACCCUUAUUGUUAGUUGCCAUCAUUUAGUUGGGCACUCUAGCAAGACUGCCGGUGACAAACCGGAGGAAGGUGGGGAUGACGUCAAAUCAUCAUGCCCCUUAUGACCUGGGCUACACACGUGCUACAAUGGGAAGUACAACGAGUCGCAAAGUCGCGAGGCUAAGCUAAUCUCUUAAAGCUUCUCUCAGUUCGGAUUGUAGGCUGCAACUCGCCUACAUGAAGCCGGAAUCGCUAGUAAUCGCGGAUCAGCACGCCGCGGUGAAUACGUUCCCGGGCCUUGUACACACCGCCCGUCACACCACGAGAGUUUGUAACACCCGAAGUCGGUGAGGUAACCUUUUGGAGCCAGCCGCCUAAGGUGGGAUAGAUGAUUGGGGUGAAGUCGUAACAAGGUAACCAGG
This 1513-nucleotide ribosomal RNA is filed under the name Enterococcus sp. JM10. RNAcentral describes it as "bacterial SSU rRNA". It matches the Rfam family "Bacterial small subunit ribosomal RNA". The record is from RNAcentral. Lineage: Bacteria; Bacillati; Bacillota; Bacilli; Lactobacillales; Enterococcaceae.